Oncorhynchus keta (chum salmon) is the source of this 1419-nucleotide long non-coding RNA. RefSeq lists it as uncharacterized. Lineage: Eukaryota; Metazoa; Chordata; Actinopteri; Salmoniformes; Salmonidae. The transcript has 2 exons. The record is from RefSeq and is a predicted model, not a curated record.
CCCCACCCCCCUAUGGGCACAAGCACUGUUCAUGACACAAACUGUUGACACCCCGCUUGUUGGCAGAGAGAAUGUAGCAGGUUUAAAGCUUAUUUCCUGCAAUUCUACACAUUUUGUCACAGGAAAAUAUUGUCGUUUUAAUGCUCAUUUUCUUGCAGUUAUUUACAAAUUUGAUCAUGUCUAAUGUGUAUUCAUGUGAUAUUUGAGUGACUCAAAAACUACAACAAUAUUUAUGAGCUAAAAAAAAAAGUAAGUAAAAAGACGGCCGUGGGCUGAUUGAUCUGGACACUCCUGACUAGUUAUAAACAUCUCUCUAAUGUGAACAAUGACUAACGGGACAAGAGGAGCUGAUGAUGUCAUACCCCAUUUAGAAAUGUCACCUCGUACAUUCUACUAUUAUCACUUUCAAGACUUAAGUUUAAAGCUGGACUGAGUUCCUUAAAAAAAAAAUAUAUAUAUAUAUACGUAUAUAUAUUUUUUAAAUGGAGAGGGGAGGACCACGUGCUGCCGCUGCGGGGGGGCGGGGGAGGGGGGGGCGCCCCGCCCCGCCCCGCCCCACAGUUUGGGAACCGCUGGUAUAGACGACUACCUAUUGUUUCAAUCAAUCAGCUGUGUUUCAGUACAAUGUCUAUAUGGGGUACAUGUCAAUGAAGCCACAUGUUAAUGUUGUUAGUGUCUUAGUUUGCCCUGCAUUGCAAUAACAACGAUAGAGACCGUUGAAAAUUGGACCAUCCAGACCUUUAUUCAAAGAAAAGCACUGUUGUGAUAUUUAAAAAAGGCAAGAAACAAUGCUUAACCUACUGUACCAGUGAGUGGAUGAGGUGAUGUGCAGCACCAAUACCUACCUACCACUGAGUGGAUGAGGUGAUGUGCAGCACCAAUACCUACCACUGAGUGGAUGAGGUCUCGUGCAGCACCAAUACCUACCACUGAGUGGAUGAGGUGAUGUGCAGCACCAGUACCUACCACUGAGUGGAUGAGGUGUUGUGCAGCACCAAUACCUACCACUGAGUGGAUGAGGUGAUGUGCAGCACCAGUACCUACCACUGAGUGGAUGACGUGAUGUGCAGCACCAAUACCUACCACUGAGUGGAUGAGGUGAUGUGCAGCACCAGUACCUACAACUGAGUGGAUGAGGUGUCGUGCAGCACCAAUACCUACCACUGAGUGGAUGAGGUGAUGUGCAGCACCAAUACCUACCACUGAGUGGAUGAGGUGAUGUGCAGCACCAGUACCUACCACUGAGUGGAUGAGGUGUUGUGCAGCACCAGUACCUACCAGUGAGUGGAUGAGGUGAUGUGCAGAGUUCGUUUUUUGUCUUACCUUGUGAGAGGUAGUGUGUGGUUCAUAUAGCCCAAUGCAGUGGGAUGUGUUCAUCAUAUCUUAAAACAAUUAUAAUAACAAUCAUUUAUAACCGUC